GGCCGGCCCGCUGUAACGUGAGGCUCCCGCUGCUGCUCCAGGGCUCAGACUGGUUGCCAAGUCCACGCUUUGGGCUAAAAGAGGCACUGCCAGGUGCAUAGCCCUGGGCAUGAGCCUUUUGAGCUGCGGGGGAAAGCCCAGCACUGGUCCCAGGAAAGGUGCCUAGAAGAAUACAACACAGAGCCACCGUGAGAUGGAGCCCGGACGUGGAGGCCUGUCAGUGCUGCCCCUCUGGCCCCGGACUAGGCGGCAGCCUGCCCUGUGGCCCACCCUGGC
Non-coding RNA from Vicugna pacos (alpaca), 276 nucleotides. The record is from RefSeq and is a predicted model, not a curated record. Lineage: Eukaryota; Metazoa; Chordata; Mammalia; Artiodactyla; Camelidae.